AAUGUGCAUAAAUGAUUGUGUAGGAAAAGAAUGAAAGAUUCAAAAAUAUGAGAGCAAGUCAAACCAUGAUGCAUACAACAAGUAGAAAGGUUUUUGCUCGCUUAGAAGUUGAAAUGGUAAAAAAUUGUUAAAUUAAAGUUAAAUUUGUUUGAAAAAUUAUAAAUGUUAUACAAACUACCACACAUGAAAUGUGUAAAAUGCAGCGUGCUAAAAGUGAAGAUCCUGAUUCGAUAACGAGAGAUGAUGUUUAUAUUCGAGGACAUACACAAAAAAAUGGUGAACCUAUUAAUGAAUCGGUUGGGAAAACAUUGGUAACAAUAUUGCUUUUAGUAAUUUUGUAUCAUUCAAAGCUUAUAUUAGCUAAUUUUAGCUCAUUAAUGUAUUUCCUCAUAUCAGAAUAAAAUAAAAGCAUAUUCAGAGACAAUUUCUCUCCAAGCAAACACUCACUUGAAGGUGAUGGUGUUGCAAAAGUACUUGGUCCAGAACGUCCAGGACGAGUAAGAGGUCUUGGUUUCGAUGCGACUCCUUCAAAGUUGAAUGCUUUGGUGCACAAUCAUAACUUGCAAACUCAAGUUCAAAAGUUGAGGGAUGAAAUUAAAGAAUUAAAAGCUCUAUUUCAAGUGAAGAGUAAAAGUGCUGAAUAAGAAGAUAAUGUAAGUGGAAAUCUAGAAUCAAUAAAUGUUAUUUUAAAUUAUAUAUACUUUCUAUAUUCAAAAUAAUAAAUUGUACAAUUGAAUAUUAAUUUUACAGUCUAGAGAUAGAAGCUUGAAUGGUUUAGAUAACCUUCAAAAUAAGAAGUGCAAAUUGUUAUCUUGGUUUGGGAAAGUUGAUAUUGUUGCAAAAGGUGAAAUCGCAUCAACAAAUCCAAAUGAUCUAGUGCAUCAUGUACCCCUUGGUAAUGAACGUUGGAGAGUUUGGAUUAAUGAAGUGAUCGAUAAUGUCAUCUUAUAUCGUCCCACGCGUGAGCUUUUUCUUCUUGAAGAGCAUUAGGAAGUACAAUUACAUGACCAAGUAGGUAUAUCGAAGUGGAUUCGCUAUAAUCACAACGAAGGUAUGCUUAACUUCCUUUCUAUUUUAAUCUCAUUUACCUUUAUGUUCGGUCUCAAUUGAAGAUAGGGUUGUUUAAUAUAUUUCUUGAUACACUUUUGAUUUGGAU
Molecule: long non-coding RNA, 1156 nt
Filed under: Olea europaea subsp. europaea
Lineage: Eukaryota; Viridiplantae; Streptophyta; Magnoliopsida; Lamiales; Oleaceae
Source: RNAcentral